Small nuclear RNA from Sphaerodactylus townsendi, 113 nucleotides. RefSeq annotates it as U5 spliceosomal RNA. NCBI's taxonomy places the organism in Eukaryota, Metazoa, Chordata, Lepidosauria, Squamata, Sphaerodactylidae. The record is from RefSeq and is a predicted model, not a curated record. The transcript has a single exon.
AUACUCUGGUUUCUCUUCAGAUCGCAUAACUCUUUCGCCUUUUACUAAAGAUUUCCAUGGAGAGGAACAGUUAUGAGUGUUUAUAAAUAUACCGUAUUGCUAGUGUUAGAACU